CCUACGGGAGGCAGCAGUGAGGAAUAUUGGUCAAUGGACGAGAGUCUGAACCAGCCAAGCCGCGUGAAGGAUGACGGCCCUAUGAGUUGUAAACUUCUUUUGUAAGGGGAUAAAACCAGGCACGUGUGCCUUUCUGAAUGUACUGUACGAAUAAGGAUCGGCUAACUCCGUGCCAGCAGCCGCGGUAAUACGGAGGAUUCGAGCGUUAUCCGGAUUUAUUGGGUUUAAAGGGAGCGUAGGCGGUCUGUUAAGUCAGUGGUGAAAGUCCGGGGCUCAACGUUAAAAUUGCAAUUGAUACUGGCAGUCUGGAGAGUAGUUGAGGUAAGCGGAAUGCAUGGUGUAGCGGUGAAAUGCUUAGAUAUCAUGAAGAACCCCGAUUGCGAAGGCAGCUUACUAAGCUAUGACUGACGUUGAGGCGCGAAAGCGUGGGGAGCAAACAGGAUUAGAUACCCGAGUAGUC
Molecule: ribosomal RNA, 460 nt
Filed under: uncultured bacterium
Lineage: Bacteria
Description: partial 16S ribosomal RNA
Rfam family: Bacterial small subunit ribosomal RNA
Source: RNAcentral